UACGUAGGGUGCAAGCGUUAAUCGGAAUUACUGGGCGUAAAGCGUGCGCAGGCGGUGAUGUAAGACAGGUGUGAAAUCCCCGGGCUUAACCUGGGAAUUGCGCUCGAAACUACGGAGCUGGAGUGUGGCAGAGGAAGGUGGAAUUCCACGUGUAGCGGUGAAAUGCGUAGAGAUGUGGAGGAACACCGAUGGCGAAGGCAGCCUUCUGGGCCAACACUGACGCUCAUGCACGAAAGCGUGGGGAGCAAACAGG
RNAcentral lists this ribosomal RNA (253 nucleotides) under uncultured bacterium. Its description in RNAcentral is "partial 16S ribosomal RNA". It matches the Rfam family "Bacterial small subunit ribosomal RNA", at positions 524 to 776 of the family's 1533-position model. The record is from RNAcentral.